GAACCACAGGGUCUGUCUGCGUCUAGCUGCUCCAUAGCCAGCCCCUGCUGUUCUUUACAACUGAGCCCUGUCGCUUCUGUGCUGGGAGAGGCCUUGCCAAGUCCAUCUCUCCAGCCCUUGGAUUUUUAAAUACGAAUCGCCUCCAUGUUAAAAUGGGAGCAGUCAGGGAGCUCAAGCCUCCGUUCGGGUUUUGUAAAUACAGAGUUACCAACCAGCAUCAGGCGAAACCCUUGUAUGUAUAUGGGGGGAAAAACCAGCCUUUGCAAGCCAAAGAUUGCCGCAGAGGGUUAGUGUCUGAAAACCAGAAAGGGAAACCGACCAGGGACACAGGCAAGGAAAGUCCUUGCUGGGGUUUGAACAGGAGACUUUGACCCGCGUCCCUUGACUUCCUGGGGCCCUAGCAGCCGUUCUGGGGCCCGGUUCCCCCGGGCGGCGGCUGGAUGGCUGGGAACCAGCAGAUGGAGCUCCGCGUGCAAGACACCUUCCCCGGCCCGCGCCUUUGUGCUCCCGGGCCCUGCGGGGUCCCCAGGCGCUGCUCCGCCAGUUCACUUCCUGCGGGGGCCGGGCUCCGGAUUUGAAAAUGCGGGAGUCGCGGCUGCUGCUGCACCUGGUGGUGCACGGCGCGGCCGGCCCCCCGCGGGAGAUGGCCGGCCGCGGGGACGAGCCGCAGAGGGCAGCCUGGCUUCGGCAGUACUACACGCAGAGGCAGAAGAGACUGAUGACGCUGCUGAUUGCCCGCCGGAGGAGAUCCAGCUGUUACUUCCACCCCCGCGCAUGGCCCAGCUUCCGGAAUGCUGACUGGUGGGAACGGGUGGUCCUGAAAGACUUCCAGCCACGGGAUUGGCUGGAGAAAUUCCGAAUGUCCAAGGAGACCUUCUUCUAUGUCUGCAACCAGCUGCGACCCAAGCUGUCCCACCCGAGUACCCUGCCUCUGGAGCAGCGGGUAGCUGUGGCCGUUUGGCACCUGGCCACCAACGUAGAGUACCAGAUAAUCAGCCCCCUCUUUGGGGUGGGUCCCUCCACAGUGCAGAACUGUGUCAAGGAGGUCAGCUAUGCCAUUGUGCUGCUGCUGAAGCCGCUCUACCUCCGGCUGCCCGGUGAGCAGGAGCUGGAGAACAUGGUGCGGAUCUUCAGUGCCCGCUGGGGAUUCCCACAUUGCAUCGGUGCCUUGGACAGCCUCCAUGUCCCCAUCCACGCCCCAGCACACCUCGGUGCCGACUACUGCAACAGCCAGGGCUGGCAUUCUGUCCUCACACAGGUGACGGUGGAUGGGCUGGGUCAGUUCUGGGACAUCUGUGCCGGCUUCCCUGGCAGCAUGGAGAACAACACAGUUCUGGAAAACUCCAGCUUGUGGGUGUUAGCCAGGGAGGGCCGCCUCUUCCCAACCCCCCCGAAACAUUUCAUGGGGAGGGCACAAAAAUACGUCCUGUUGGGAGACGCCUCUUACCCGCUGCGGGAUUGGAUCCUCAAGCCUUACCCAGAAGACGGCACCCUCACACCACAGCAGCUCCAGUUCAACUAUCGCCUGAAGCGAGCUCACAGCGUGAUCGAGAAUGCCUUCCUACGCCUCAAGGCCCGGUGGCAGUUCCUCCUAAAAUGCGACGACUGCAGCCUGGACCUACUGCCCACGGUCAUACUCGCCUGUUGCACCCUGCACAACGUGUGCGAGGCCCAUGACAGCCCCUUCAAUGAUGAAUGGCUGGAGGUGAUAGAACCCGCUGAGUUCUCAAAGCCCUGCCAGCCUGCGCCCAUGUCCAUGGACGACAGCAAUGCCGAGGAAGUGCGAGAGCUGAUGUGCAAAUACUUUGAAAGCUACGGAGAAGGCUGAUUGCUACAAAGCAAUGCUGCAUGCUUUCCAGCUCUCAAACUUUCAGUAACUCUAGUACACCUAACAUUGCCCCAGCAAUCAAAGGCCACUGAAUGGGUACUGUGCGCUGUCACAUACUGCAAAGCCUUUUCUGUGGAAUAAAGGCGGCUUGGGGGAUUGAUAAGGAGCCAGCCCUUCCCAGCUCAGCCACCAGUUCCAGUCCAGAGGAGGUCGGCCGUGUUGUGCGAAAGCAGUCUUUACCUUGGUGCUGUCGGGCAAUGGGAUGGAUUUCAUGCCUUUGUAAUCUGCCAGGGUUUAGAUGAUCUUGUGACAUGGUUUGUGAGAUGUAAAUAAAACAGGGGGUCUAGGUUUGGACAAAAAGUGGGGUGCAUAUUUUUUUACUUUCUUUAGGAAUAGAUCGGGCUCAGUAGCUCAGGGUGAUUGGAAAAGGGACACGAAGCCUGUCACGCCUUGGUCACUGGUAUGAAGCCAGUUUAGGCUGCAGGCUGGCAGUCAAUGACAGUUACCAGCUGAUGAGUUCUCAGUGGCCUGUGGGAAAAGAUGGGUGGAUCUCAGUUCAGGAGACAGGUGACCUUGGCACAGUGUCCCCUGCAUGGGCAGCCUCAGCAGCAAGCACCUAGAUGCUGUGGUCAUGGGUGCUCUAGAAACACAUCAGCAGAAAGGCCAAAGGAUGGAAUAGGUACUAUUGUCUGAAUCACAAUAGCAUCUGGAUGCCCCAGCUGAGGACAGGGCCCCAUUGUGCUGGGUCCUGACCCAGAGAUGCCAGUCCCUGCCCUGAUGAGCUCACUGUCUGAACAGGCAAGAUGCACCCAAGGUGGGAGGGGAAGUGAGUUGCCUGAGGCCAGCAGCAGAGCUAAGAUUAGAAUCCAGAAGUCAAGGAUUCCCAGGCUAGCACCCUACCCACUAGACGGCACUACCUCCACGUCCCUCAGGUGGCUGAAUUACCUUGCCAGCCUGAGGCUGAAGUUCCUGGCUAAUGCUGAGGAACGUCGGCGGAGCACGCGGUGUCUCAGUGCUCGGUGGGUCACCAGACUGGCCCCCUUCAGGAGCACAGAAGCUGAGACAGCGGCAGUUGAGAAAAGCCCUAGGGUCAUUUUAAGAAGUAUGUGGUUUUCCACAGAGGUAUCUGCCUGGCAUGGUGGAACCUCUUCAAAGAUGCUGCCUCCAGGUGAAAUCACGUGAUGAAGGAAAAAACAGCAAACUCAACAUCGUGGGCUAGAUUCAACUGGGGCUUCUGUGAGUGACUCCCAUUCGCAUCAGGGCUAAGUUUAGCCGCACACAUCUGCUUCUGCUGACACCCGUCUCCCGUUUUGCCAGUCACGCUGCCUAGCAUCAUCAUUCCUGGGGACACACUGAUAGAAUCAGUCAUUUCCGUACUCCCACGCUUCUGCCUGCUGUCCAGAACUCACUUGUCUUCUGGAAAUCUAGUGUUUUACUCCAACAAUCUGAAAACAAGAAUUUGGGACUUUAGCAAUAUCUGAGGCCUCUCCGUGUGUCUGAAGGGCUGUGGAUGUAGCAGGGGCAUUAACCUGAGUAUCCAGACAAAUUCCAAUAUAGGUAACUACAUUCUGCCUAUCUAUGGCCCUGAGCCUGCAAAGAGUUACACAUAUGCUUAACCCUACCUGCAUGGACAGACCCUCUGAGUCCAAGCCUUAAGCCUCUAGGAUUGGAGUCUUUGAUUUUUAAGACAUGGCUGGAUAUUUAUCUGCUCAUAGACUUUAAAGUCAGAAAGAACCAUCAUGAUCAUCUAGUCUGACUCCUGCACAUUGCAGGCCACAGAACCUCACCCACCCACUCCUGACAUAGACCCCUAACCUCUGGCAGAGUUACUGAAGUGCACGCUACUGGGGAUGUGGUUAGCAAAGUCUGGCCAUUGCAUUACGUAGGGUGGAAGAAUCCAGGAGUCUGACUGGUUCUUUAUGAACCACAUGGGUGGGAACUUACUGCCUUGGAGUCAAAGAAGCCUUGACUGGAUGCCUCUCUGAAAGAGAUGCUUUAGCUUAAUACACGUUAUUGGGUUCAGUGUAGGGGUAACGGAGAAUUCCAUGGCCUGUGACAUACAGGAGGUCAGAUGAGCUAAUGGUCCCUUUGGACCUUUAACUCUAUGAAUAUCUGGACUGUACAGUUCGGCGAAAACUCCAGCACUCCCUCCGCACUUUACUUCCUUCCCCAGACUCCUGGCUCUCGCACAGCAGCGAUGGUUCAGCAGCUUCCACCCCCCACCUAAACCUGCCAGCCCUGCGUCAGCAGGUGAGAGGACUUCUCUUGGAGCUGGGUGAAUGGCUCCCUAAAGUCUCCCCAAGGCCCUGCCUGUCCCAUGAGAGCUUUAGAUACACUGUGUGACAGGUUCCCCCCGGGGUGCCACCUGGAACUGGGGUACCGCUGAGCCCCCUGACCCACCAGCCUGGGCUCCCUCUCACCAGCCUGGGCUCCCUCUCAUUCUGCUGUGACAAGCUGCAAAGCCCUCCAGCCUGCACUUUCACCAGCAUUCACACAGGUAGGGACACACCCAGCUGCAGUUACAUGCAGGCUCUCUAACCACCAGCUUGGGACCCCAGAGCAGUACCAUCCUGCCCUGGUCAAAUCUGGCCAGUAUAUGGGUUUAAUACCCAGUCUGCCUAUCCCUCAAUGUGAAGAGAACAAUGCACACUUGUGGUAACCAACCAGAGAUUUUCCCCAAGCACUCCAGUCAAAGCUCAAAACAAAAACAAGUUUCACUACAAAAGAUAGAUUUUAAGUGAUUAUAGGGGAUAGCAAACAGAGCAAAGUAGAUUACCUAGCAGAUAAACAAAAAAUGCAAACUAAGCUUAAUAUAUUAGAUUGGACAUGAAUUAGUUAGUAGAUUCUCACACUAAGAGAUGAUACAAGCAGGUUGCUGAUUCUUAAGGGGCCAGCUGCACUUACUUUACAGCUUGGAAUCCCCAGGUGUUUCAUACACAAGCUAGAAAUCCCUUUAGCCUGAGUCUAGCACUUCCCCCAGAUCAGUCUUUGUUCAUCAGGUGUUUCCAGGAGUCUUCUUGUGUGGGGAGUGAAGAACCCCAGAUGAUGUCAGUCCCUGGCUUAUAUAGCUUUUGCAUAUGGCAGGAACCCUUUGUUCCAAAGCUUGGUUCCCAGACCGGUCUGUGGAAAAAUACUGACAUCCCGAGAUUGAGUCCAGCAUCAUGUGGCCUGGUCACAUGUCCUUGUAGAGUCAUAGCAGCCAUCACUCACAUUAUCAUUCUCAAAAAGACUCACCAGGUGGGAGAUAAGCUUGUGAAGGGUAACAAGAAGGGUUUCUACAGGUAUGUUAGCAACAAGAAGGUCAGGGAAUGUGUGGGACCCUUACUGAAUGGGGGAAGCAACCUAGUGAUAGAUGAUGUGGAAAAAGCUGAAGUACUCAAUGCUUUUUUUGCCUCAGUCUAAAGAGACAAGGUGUGACGAAGCGGGACUGUUCUUAAUGUUUCCUCUGAAUAGUGUGGGGGUGCCUCAGUUUCCUCUAGGCACUUCUUAAGUAUCUAAGUGAUGGGAUAAGGGUGUAUGAUCAUUGCAGAGCCCUAGAGGGCAGGUGUGUGCAGGGGUCUGGACACAGAGAAUGGCCGACACCCUCUUUCCUGGCAACUGAUGGCCUGGGCCCUUCCCCCCUGCAAGGCGAGAGCUAAACGGUUGGAGAACAAAGGAAUCAGGUGACCUCCUGGCCCAGGAAAGGGACAAAGCCCAGAGGAGGAGGGGCUGGAGAGAGUUUCAGUUUGGGGCUGGCUGGGGACAUGGAGUGAAGUGCAGACGUGGUUGUCUGGCUCACUGCCCUCCAAAAUGGACCCAGCUGAGGGGUCCUGUUCUCUGCACCUACAAACUCUGUGUUAGACCAUGUUCCUGUCGUCUAAUAAACCUUCUGUUUUACUGGCUGGCUGAGAGUCACGUCUGACUGCGAAGUUGGGGGGCAGGACCCUCUGGCUUCCCCAGGAGCCCACCUGGGCGGACUCGCUGUGGGAAGCGCACGGGGGGGCAGAGGAUGCUGAAUGCUCCGAGGUCAGACCCAGGAAGGUGGAAUUUGAGUGAGCUGUGUGUCUUGAAGACAGUCUGCUCACAGAAAGGAGACUUCCCCAGAGUCCUGACAGGCUUGGUAGGGAGCAGUUCCAGAGCAUCACCCGGGGACUCCGUGACACAAGGUCAGCUCCAAGACUGCUGCACUGGGCAACACAGUAUGGGGAGGAGGUGAGCAGCCCUUAGUGGUGAAAGAACAGGUCAAGGGCUAUUUAGAAAAGCUGGACAUGCAUAAGUCCAUGGGGCCAGAUGCAAUGCAUCCAGGGGUGCUCGGGGACUUGGCUGAUGUGAUUGCAGAGCCAUUGGCCAUUGUCUCUGAAAACUCGUGGCAAUCAGGGGAGAUCCUGGACGAUUGAAAAAAGGCAAAUAUAGCGCCCAUCUUUAAAAAAGGGAUCCAUUUUGAAGCACUUGGAGGAGGGGAAGGUGAUCAGGAACAGUCAACAUGGAUUCACCAAGGGCAAGUCAUGCCUGACCAACCUGAUUGCCUUCUAUGAUGAGAUAACUGGCUCUGUGGAUAUGGGGAAAGUGGUGGACGUGAUAUACCUUGACUUUAGCAAAGCUUUUGAUACGGUCUCCCACAGUAUUCUUGCCAGCAAGUUAAAGAAUUAGGCAUUGGGUGGACAGAAACCUGGCUAGAUCGUUGGGCUCAAUGGAUAGUGAUCAACGGCUCGAUGUCUAGUUGGCAGCUGGUAUCAAGCGGAGUGCCCCAAGGGUCAGUCCUGGGGCCAAUUUUGUUCAACAUCUUCAUUAAUGAUCUGGAUGAUGGGAUGGAUUGCACCAUCAGCAAGUCCGCGGAUGACACUAAACUGGGGGGAAAGGUAGAUAUGCUGGAGGGUAGGGAUAGAGUCCAGAGUGACCUAGACAAAUUGGAGGAUUGGGCCAAAAGAAAUCUGAUGAGGUUCAACAAGGACAAGUGCAGAGUCCUGCAUUUAGGCUGGAAGAAUCCCAUGCACCGCUACAAGCUGGGGACCGACUGGCUAAGAGGCAGUUCUGCAGAAAAGGACCUGGGGAUUACAGUGGACGAGAAGCUGGAUACGAGUCAGCAGUGUGCCCUUCUUGCCAAGAAGGCUAGUUGCAUAUUGGGCUACAUUAGUAGAAGCAUUGCCAGCAGAUUGAGGGAAGUGAUUAUUCCCCUUAUUAGGCACUGGUGAGGCCACAUCCUGAGUAUUGCGUCCAGUUUUGAUCCCCCACUACAGAAGGGAUGUGGACAAAUUGGAGAGAGUCCAGCGGAGGGCAACAGAAAUGAUUAGGGGGCUGGGGCACAUGACUUACGAGGAAAGGCUGUGGGAACUGGGCUUAUUUAGUCUGCAGAAGAGCAAGGGGGGAUUUGAUAGCUCAGUGGUUUGAGCAUUGGCCUGCUAAACCCAGGGUUGUAAGUUCAAUCCUUGGGGGGGCCAUUUAGGGAUCUGGGGCAAAAAUUGGGGAUUGGUCCUGCUUUGAGCAGGGGGUUGGACUAGAUGACCUCCUGAGGUCCCUUCCAACCCUGAUAUUCUAUGAUAGCAGCCUUCAACAACCGGAAGGGGGGUUCCAAAGAGGAUGGAGCUCGGUUGUUCUCAGUGGUGGCAGAUGACAGAACAAGGAGCAAUGGUCUCAAGUCACAGUGGGGGAGGUCUAGGUUGGAUGUUAGGAAACACUGUUUCACUAGGAGGGUGGUGAAGCACUGGAAUGGGUUACCUAUGGAGGUGGUGGAAUCUCCUUCCUUAGAGGUUUUUAAGGUCAGGCUUGGCAAAGCCCUGACUGGGAUGAUUUAGUUGGGGGUUGGUCCUGCUUUGAGCAGUGGGUUGGACUAGAUGACCUCCUGAGGUCUCUUCCAACCCUAAUCUUCUAUGACUCUCCUAAGGCCUAUUGUUUUCCCUAAUGGCUCAUUGCCCUGAAGAGGCCCUUCCCAACCAGCCAUUCUGACUGAAAGCGUCUUGUCUAGUGGGUGUUACCCAGGUGCGACUACAUUUGAAAUACAGAUACACAGUCAAUAUUCAUAACUUCAGAUACAAAAAUGAUCCAUGCACACAAAUAGGAUACUCAUAUUCAGCAAACCAUCACUUUUCCACUGACACCUCCCAUGACUUGUACAAAAUGCAUCAUCAUUAAAUGCAUCAUAAGAAUAUCACUGCGAAGAGCAUGGGGUGCAGGGUCCCACUGUGCAGCAGCAGUUGCAAGGAGCAACUUCUGGGGCGGCGGUGGGGGAAGGGUAGCAGCCCACCAGCGCACAACACAAUGGGUCUGCGGAGUGAGUUUAGCCAAGGACAUUAGACAAACCUGUUAAUUUUGCAAAUGGUGCCAGGAGAUCUCCAAUGUCCAAACAGAGCAGAGAGGACCUAAUUUUUUAAGGUUUCUGAAAGACACAGACACGUACAGUAAAUUGUGUAGAAAGAGAUGGGACUGCCUCGGGAGGGAUAAAAGGCUUAGUCAAAGCAGCGGGGAUUUGAAGCUAUGCUUGCAGGUAGGUUAGGUACUGUAUUUCCACCUUAAGGCUGAGACUAUCAAAGCAUGCCUUUUACAUAUCACACCCACAUCAGAGCAUGCCACAUGGAUUGCAAUACGUUUCUGUAGUACACAGAGCUGGAGUCUGAUCUCCGUUAUGCUGGUGGGAAUCAGGACUAAUUCCACUGAAGUCAACUGUAUCAAUGUAAAAUCAGGGUCACCAAGACCAGAAUCAGGGCCCUAAUGCCCAGUUGGAUUGUUUCCCCACAUUUUAAGCAGCUGAAGAAUUCAUCAUAUCAAUAGGCCUCUGGCCCUGAUCCAGCAAAUACGUACGCACACAUUUAAGUGGGUGAGUAGGUCAGUUGACUUCAAUGGAACAAUUUGUGCUUAAAGUUAAGUUUGUGCAUAACAAUUUGGGGUCUAGAGAGGCUCCUUUCUUCACUUCCCGUCUUAACCUGUUGUGUGGCGUUGCUGUACCAGGUGGGUGAAAUGCAGUGGCAGAUGAUGUAUGUAGCUUUGGGAUCCUCCAGGAGGAAAGGAGGAAACUCCACUCUGAAACCUUUAAUAAGAUUGUUAUUCUUUUGUUACCUUGCCUUUGUUUCACAAAUGCCAUUGAGUUAAACAUUAUAAUGAAAAUACAUGUCUUUUCCUGUAUUAAUAACAACAGCUCAGAGUAUUAAAUCUGAAAAUUAAACACUUUACUUUGCA
Chelonia mydas (Green sea turtle) is the source of this 8977-nucleotide RNA transcript. It is a transcript of the gene named protein ANTAGONIST OF LIKE HETEROCHROMATIN PROTEIN 1, with no coding region annotated. The record is from RefSeq and is a predicted model, not a curated record. The transcript has 3 exons. Lineage: Eukaryota; Metazoa; Chordata; Testudines; Cheloniidae.